Molecule: transfer RNA, 64 nt
Filed under: Melamphaus rubrocinctus
Lineage: Eukaryota; Metazoa; Arthropoda; Insecta; Hemiptera; Pyrrhocoridae
Description: tRNA-Pro
Source: RNAcentral
CAAGAUAUAUUUUAUUUAGAAUAUUAAUUUUGGAGAUUAAUGGUGAGAGAUUUCUCUAUUUUGA